Molecule: ribosomal RNA, 413 nt
Filed under: uncultured bacterium
Lineage: Bacteria
Description: bacterial SSU rRNA
Rfam family: Bacterial small subunit ribosomal RNA
Source: RNAcentral
GUGUCAGCAGCCGCGGUAAUACGUAGGUGGCGAGCGUUGUCCGGAAUGACUGGGCGUAAAGGGUGCGUAGGCGGCCUGUCAAGUUAGAAGUGUAAUACCUGGGCUCAACUUAGGUGCUACUUCUAAGACUGAUGGGCUUGAGUGUGGGAGAGGUAAGUGGAAUUCCUAGUGUAGCGGUGGAAUGCGUAGAUAUUAGGAGGAACACCGGCGGCGAAGGCGGCUUACUGGACCAUAACUGACGCUGAGGCACGAAAGCGUGGGGAGCAAACAGGAUUAGAUACCCUGGUAGUCCACGCCGUAAACGAUGGAUACUAGGUGUAGGGGGUAUCGACGCCCUCUGUGCCGUCGCUAACGCAAUAAGUAUCCCGCCUGGGGAGUACGACCGCAAGGUUAAAACUUAAAUGAAUUGACGG